CAACCUGCCUUACACUCUUGGACAGCCUUCUGAAAGGGAGAUUAAUACAAGAUGUUAUCAUGAGUAAGCAUUUUCACAUGAUUAAAGGUUUACCGGUGUAAGAUGGGGAUGCGUUCCAUUAGAUAGUAGGCGGGGUAACGGCCCACCUAGUCUUCGAUGGAUAGGGGUUCUGAGAGGAAGGUCCCCCACAUUGGAACUGAGACACGGUCCAAACUCCUACGGGAGGCAGCAGUGAGGAAUAUUGGUCAAUGGACGAGAGUCUGAACCAGCCAAGUAGCGUGAAGGAUGAAGGUUCUAUGGAUUGUAAACUUCUUUUAUACGGGAAUAAACGAAUCCACGUGUGGAUUUUUGCAUGUACCGUAUGAAUAAGGAUCGGCUAACUCCGUGCCAGCAGCCGCGGUAAUACGGAGGAUCCGAGCGCUAUCCGGAUUUAUUGGGUUUAAAGGGAGCGUAGAUGGGUUGUUAAGUCAGUUGUGAAAGUUUGCGGCUCAACCGUAAAAUUGCAAUUGAUACUGGCAGUCUUGAGUACAGUUGAGGUAGGCGGAACUCGUGGGGUAGCGGUGAAAUGCUUAGAUAUCACGAAGAACUCCGAUUG
This 595-nucleotide ribosomal RNA is filed under the name uncultured Bacteroidota bacterium. RNAcentral describes it as "bacterial SSU rRNA". It matches the Rfam family "Bacterial small subunit ribosomal RNA", at positions 122 to 715 of the family's 1533-position model. The record is from RNAcentral. Lineage: Bacteria; Pseudomonadati; Bacteroidota.